UUUUCGUAUGGUUAUUGCUUUCUUUUUACGUGGGAAUGAAUCAUAGAAUGAAAGAAAUUUCCAAUCCUCAAUGGAAGAUAGGGUGGAGAUAGAUGUUGAAUGCUUAUUAAAUAAGGCUCUGUUUAGACAGGCCUCAAUGCCUCCUUCCUUUUCCUCUUACCUUACCGAAAUUGAUUCCUCCUUUUGUAAUUGCUCUCCAUGGGCAGGGGAACUUCAAGGCAAGCAGCUUCACUCAAAUAUCAACGCAAAUAACGAAAGGAGGACAACGAUGAGAAUUCAAUGACCAAGGGAGGGUAUAAAGCACGUAUUAAUAAGUCAGUCCUUCAAGCUAGACGAAGCCACUGCUCGAUCCGAGAUCUGUAAAUGGGAGAACUAGAGAAUCGCAGGAAAGCGACAAAAUAUUCAGAAUAGACCCAGAUCAUCUUUCUUAGCUAGAGGAGAUGAACAUCUUAGGAAAGGAUAUAGAACUUCUACCAUCAACCUAAGUGAUCUUUGGCCAACUAUGGAUUCGUCCAAGCCGGUCUUUUUUUACUCAAGUACAUUUCUGGGCGGAACUCUAAUUGAAAGAUCAACAAUUGGAUCCAUUAAGGCUAAACCAUUGGCAUGUAGAUGCAUAAAUCAGUCUUCAAUGUCAAGAUGACCAUCCCGGGAAAGAGAGAGAGCUAUUGAGAAUGCUAGGCCAGCUUUCCUUAUCAGUCUAUUUUACUACUUCUACUAAGCCAUAACAAGACUUUUGGGACCG
Molecule: long non-coding RNA, 742 nt
Filed under: Linum usitatissimum (flax)
Lineage: Eukaryota; Viridiplantae; Streptophyta; Magnoliopsida; Malpighiales; Linaceae
Description: long non-coding RNA (LUSI_LNC005329)
Source: RNAcentral